AGAGUUUGAUCAUGGCUCAGGACGAACGCUGGCGGCGUGCUUAACACAUGCAAGUCGAGCGAUGAAGUUUCUUCGGAAAUGGAUUAGCGGCGAACGGGUGAGGAACACGUGAAGAAUCUGCCCUCCACUUUGGGAUAACACCGGGAAACCGGUGCUAAUACCGAAUAUUGAAACAUAAGUGGCAUCACUGAGUUUUGAAAGAAUUUCGGUGGAGGAUGACUUCGCGGCCUAUCAGCUAGUUGGUGAGGUAAUGGCUCACCAAGGCAACGACGGGUAGCCGGCCUGAGAGGGCGACCGGCCACACUGGGACUGAGACACGGCCCAGACUCCUACGGGAGGCAGCAGUGGGGAAUAUUGGGCAAUGGAGGAAACUCUGACCCAGCGACGCCGCGUGCGGGAUGAAGGCCUUCGGGUUGUAAACCGCUUUCAGUAGGGAAGAAGCGAAAGUGACGGUACCUACAAAAGAAGCACCGGCUAACUAUGUGCCAGCAGCCGCGGUAAUACAUAGGGUGCAAGCGUUGUCCGGAAUUAUUGGGCGUAAAGAGCUCGUAGGUCGUUUGUUACGUCGGAUGUGAAAACCUGAGGCUCAACCUCAGGCCUGCAUUCGAUACGGGUAAACUAGAGUUUGGUAGGGGAGACUGGAAUUCCUGGUGUAGCGGUGGAAUGCGCAGAUAUCAGGAGGAACACCAAUGGCGAAGGCAGGUCUCUGGGCCAAUACUGACACUGAGGAGCGAAAGUCUGGGGAGCGAACAGGAUUAGAUACCCUGGUAGUCCAGACCGUAAACGGUGGGCACUAGUUGUGGGAACCUUCCACGGUUUCUGCGACGCAGCUAACGCAUUAAGUGCCCCGCCUGGGGAGUACGAUCGCAAGAUUAAAACUCAAGGAAUUGACGGGCCCGCACAAGCAGCGGAGCAUGCGGCUUAAUU
This 927-nucleotide ribosomal RNA is filed under the name uncultured bacterium. RNAcentral's name for it is "bacterial SSU rRNA". It matches the Rfam family "Bacterial small subunit ribosomal RNA", at positions 8 to 951 of the family's 1533-position model. The record is from RNAcentral.